AUACACACAUGUUUUCUUUCUUUCUUUUUUUCCUUUUAGGACUGCACCUGUGACAUAGGGAAGUUCCCAGGCUAGGGAUCAAAUUGAAGCUGCGGCUGCCAGCAUACGCCACAGCCACAGCAACGCCAGAUUGACCUACACCGUAGUUCACAGCAAUGUUGGAUCCUUAACCCACUGACGGAGCCCAGGGAUCAAACCCACAUCCUCAUGGAUACUAGUUGGGUUCUUAACCUGCUGAGCCACAAAGGGAACGCCAAGCCCAGUUUUCUUAAAGUAAAACUACCUCAGUUCAUAAGGUAACACAUUUGAUCUCCAGUAGACUCAUGGAUAAAAUGCCUUAUAUUGAUAUAGUGCUUUAUACUUACAAAAUAUUUUCUCAUGUCCUUUCAUCUUGACCUCUUUUGUAGAAAUGAGGGUUAAAGAUGCAGCAGAUUUUUUACUUGCCCUGGAAUCUCAGGGAGGUUACAAUGGCUGGUCCAAAUUCCACAUUGAGUAAAUUAUGGUAUCAGGAAUUAAACAAGGACUUCUCAGACCAUGUUGUGACUGAUUGAUACCCUUAUGCAUUAAAUCAUCAGAAGGAAAGACUGUCUUUUAUAUGUGGGCAAACGCAGGUCUUUUCAGUUGUAUAUGCUCCCACCUUCUCAAGGAUGGUGCUCUUGCUUUAUUUUAUCUAAAAAAACAAACCCCCUCCGUCUUCAACAGUCCAGCUCUCAUCAUCCCCAUUUCUGUUUCACAGGACUGACUUUGCUAUUUAGGGAAUCAUCAGAGUAUUAUUCCAAAGGGAGGAAAAUCAGAUAAAACCCAGCAUUCCUGGCUACAGCCUGUAUGAUUAUGAACACAGUACUGUACUUACAGUAGAGUAGGAUGCCAGGGUGAAUAGACACCGCUGCCUUUGAAAGGAUGAACGUUCGUUCUGACCUAAUAACUAUCUAACGCUGGGUACAAUUAUCUUUUCGCAAGUGGCACAUUAUUAUUUGACACAUUAAUUGUUGUGUCAUUUCUUUCUGAAAGGCAUGUUGCGAGCCUAAUACAAACCAGAGGCUUCAUGAAUUAUCCAUGUCAUACGCUGCAGCACUGAUUUACCUUUUGCAAAAUAAAAUCAACCCAAUCGCACCGCCUGUGUUCAAUUACCACAGGCCGAUCUGUGCCACCCUGUGACCCCAAGAGCUUUCUUCCUGGGUCUUGGCAUUUCUGAUCAACAUUAGCAAUGGUCUGCUUACUCACUACAGCUAUGAAAGUGUUCUUCCUCGUAGGUAAACUAGAGAUGUGUCUUUGAUAACAGGAACAUUCUUUAGGAUGUAGUUUUUGACUUGAGAUCCCCUUUUUCUGUGUCCAUUCGACCUUGGUCCCUUUUUCAUUCUUUCCCAGGAAGGGCUCUCUGGACAGAGAACUGUUUCCCGGGCAAAAAGACCCCAGUAAGCCCCAAACAUUCAAAUCUGGAUGACCUUCCAUUGCCACAGCUGCCACUCGGCAGCCUUCGAAGCUGAUGGGCUGGCGGCCCUGGGUUUGCCUCUGGGCCUGUCAUCUGUCGUGUUGUUAGACUGCUGAUGGGCUGUCGCUGCCUGCCCCUGAAGCUGGCACUUCCCUCUUCCAACUUGGGCUGCCACUGGAUGAUAAAAUCAAGCAGCCUCACAGCCGCCCUUCAUCCUCCUCCAGAUCCCAGUGGUUGAAUCAGUCUCCAAGCAGAAGCAGAAAAACUGAACCUUUCCAUUGUCUUACCAAACACAUUGGGUGUGCAUAUUCCACCGCAAAUUACCAUUAAAAAAAAAAAAUCAGAAUUAGAAUGCAUUUGCUGUUCUAUACUUUGCUGCUAGUUAAUGCCAUGCCACCCUGAAGACUCAUCUCCCCUUUUGGUUUUAAUUGGGUUCUUUUCUGUUGCUUUCAUAUCAAUUUGCACCUGACUGACAUAUUCUGCAGCUGAUUACCAAGUGAGUUGUUCUGUGAGCUAGAGGUAUGAUAAAUUAAACAUGCUAUGUAUCACCGAAUCCAUCUUUGGCUGCUUCAUGGUACAUUAUAAUUUGGGAAGGCACUAUUAAAAUAAAAUAUUAAAGAAUAAGCAGAAACAGCCCACCGUUAACAUGUCCAAUGGCAAGAGAAAAUUACAGGUUUCAUUGUAUAUGCGGCACCAUCUGCCUCUUUACCGAGGCUGAGCCUUCGGCUCCCCCAGGGGAAAUCGCUGUGGAUAAGUUAUUCAAUUAGAACAGCAUUAUUGGCCAGCUACCUUGGAGAAUUGGGUUGAUGAUGUUGUGAUUAUCCCGCUCUACAUUCCUUCAUGUCUCUGGCAGGCUGCAGUGCAUGGCAACUUCCUUAAGUGUUUACCAAGCCCUACAGUAGAGGUGAACAAUUGGAAUGAAGAAUAUCAAGGAUUCCUGAAAGAAAAUCAAUUUUGAAUGAACUUUUCUUGCUUAGCCGCAGCUUCAGUAUUCUGAGUCAUACUGUAUUUUUGUGGACUUUCAUGUUAAGUGAUAGAAAUGGCAGUAGGGAGGAAAGUGAAUUGCAUGAUAUGCAUUUAACCUGUGGCACGGCACCAAAUCCUUCUUCACGUGACAUUACAAGGCAGAGAAAUACUCAGGCCUCCUCCAAGAGGUUAUUCAUUCUAGGGAAGGGAAAAUCUCAUAGGAGCAUAAUGCUGUUUUAAUCAACUUCAGCUCUCCUUUGAAAACAUUUGUUUUAUAAAAAGUAAUAAUUAAUUAUGAGUCACUCUCUACCAGGAAGUUGGAGCCCUUCCUUUACAAGAGCGUGCCAGUCAACCAACUUCCUAAGUGGGAGGCUGUUGGGGGUGUUUAUGGUUAUCUUUAGAUCAUGUGGUUUGCAACAGAGGAUCUUGCAGUAUUCCUUUUGCCUCAUCCAAGUAAAACAUAUAUGUAUAUUACAUGCACAUAUUGUGUGUACAUGUAUAUAUAUUAUAUAUAAUUUAUAUAUGUGUAUAUGUGUGUGUGUGUGUGUGUAAAAUUUUUUUCAGUGCCACACCUGUGGCAUAUGAAAGUUCCCAGGCUCGGGGUCAAAUCAGAGGUGCAUCUGUAGGCAAGUUGUAGGCAAGUUGUGGCAAAGCUGGAUCCUUAACCCACUGAGCAAGGCCAGGGAUCAAAUCCUCAUCCUCAUGGAUACUAGUCAGGUUCUUAACCCACUGGGCCACAAUGGGAACUCUCUAUAUAAUUUUUUUUUAAAUUCUAAGUGCCUGUUGAAGAAAGUUGGAAAUACAGAAAACUGUCUUAAAAUUUACACAUAAAAUCAUUUAUUUUCACACUUCUCAUAAAUAUCAUAUCUCUGAUAUGGCAUAUAUUUCCAGAGGGCUUAUUUGCACCCUGGGGUCCAUUGAGACCAUCUUUGAUGAUUGCCAGUUGAGCAGGAACUCAAAUGUGCUCCCUCAUCGCUGGUUCAGAUGCUGCUGACUCUGGAAGAUGGUUGUUCUGUAUUUCAGCUUUCAUGAACUGUAAGAAUUUAUAAGCUCAUAUUCCACCCCCCUUUACUUGACAUAGUGGUAUCAUUUUUAAGACCUUCUUAUAAUAUUAGGACAUUAACUUUUUUUUUUUUUUUUGUCAGUGCAUGGUUAUUGUAAAAAGCAGAGGAACCUGUAUUAGGUUGUAUUCUUGCUUUUAAACUUUCUAUAACCAUACCCCUUUUGAACCUGUAGCCAGGGCUGAUAGCUGCCACCAUCCUGCCCUUGGUAAGCCAUUGCCAAAGAUUCUUGCAAUGUAAUAGAUUUUCUACAUAUAAGCUUCCCUUAUAUUCCUGGAACCAACACUAUUUGGAAAAUUCUUUGGUGUAUGUAAAAUUUGGUUUGUAGAUCUUUUAUUUAGAAUUAUUGCUCCUAUAUUUAUAUUAAGAAUUUAUGUAUAAUUUUUGGAAAAUGAGCAGACAUCACAUUUCAGUACCAGGAUUGUGUUGAGUACCUAAAAUAAAUUAGGUAAUUAUCCUUUAUUUUUUAGUAUUUAUUUAACUUAAAAGUAUUAAUUUAUUCUAAACUGAACAACUUUGGAACAGUAUACAUAGAAAGGAAAUGAUCAAUUCCUUGAGAAUUUGAAAAAACUUAAUCACUAAAAUGUCCAGAUAUUCCCUUAAUAACCUUUUAAUUGUAUUUAAUUAUUUUGUAGGAUUUUUUACUCAUUAAUAAAGAAAAUACGUAUUUUACUGAUUUUUUUAAAUAUUGACAAAUAUUUUUAAUAUUUUAUUAUCUAUUAUUUUCCCUUAUUGGUCUGUGAUUUAAGAACUCUUGGAAUUCCCAUUGUUGCUCAGUGGUAAUGAACCUGGCUAGUACCCACAAGGAUGCAGCUUUGAUCCCUGGUCUCACUCAGUGAGCUGGGGAUCCAGCAUUGCUGUGAGCUGUGGUGUAGGUCACAGACAUGGCUCGGAUCCUGCAUUACUGUGGCUGUGGCAUAGGCUGGUAGCUGUAGCUCCUGAUUCAACCCCUAGCCUGGGAACUUCCAUAUGCU
Molecule: long non-coding RNA, 4433 nt
Filed under: Sus scrofa (pig)
Lineage: Eukaryota; Metazoa; Chordata; Mammalia; Artiodactyla; Suidae
Description: lncRNA (ENSSSCG00065044050.1)
Source: RNAcentral